This 330-nucleotide ribosomal RNA is filed under the name uncultured Methanomicrobiales archaeon. Its description in RNAcentral is "bacterial SSU rRNA". It matches the Rfam family "Archaeal small subunit ribosomal RNA", at positions 1013 to 1338 of the family's 1478-position model. Lineage: Archaea; Methanobacteriati; Methanobacteriota; Methanomicrobia; Methanomicrobiales. The record is from RNAcentral.
ACUGUGAAGCAUCCUGUUAAGUCAGGCAACGAGCGAGACCCACGCCAACCAGUUGCCAGCUCGUCCUCCGGGAGUGGUGGGGACACUGUUGGGACCGCCUCUGCUAAAGAGGAGGAAGGAAUGGGCAACGGUAGGUCAGCAUGCCCCGAAUUAUCUGGGCUACACGCGGGCUACAAUGGGUGGGACAAUGGGUAUCGACACCGAAAGGUGAAGGCAAUCUCCUAAACCCAUCCGUAGUUCGGAUUGUGGGCUGCAACUCGCCCCACAUGAAGCUGGAAUCUGUAGUAAUCGUGUCUCCAAAAUGGCACGGUGAAUAUGUCCCUGCUCCUU